Molecule: unclassified non-coding RNA, 318 nt
Filed under: uncultured Chloroflexota bacterium
Lineage: Bacteria; Bacillati; Chloroflexota
Description: uncultured Chloroflexi bacterium contains 16S-23S intergenic spacer region
Rfam family: Bacterial small subunit ribosomal RNA
Source: RNAcentral
UCCGGGUUUCGCCCGGCAGUCUCCCUAAAACUCAAAGGAAUAGGCGGGGGCCCGCACAAGCAGCGGAGCGUGUGGUUUAAUUCGAGGCAACGCGAAGAACCUUACCUGGGUUUGACAUGCAGAGGAAAUUUUGGUGAAAGCCAGAACCUCCCGCAAGGGACUUCUGUGCAGGUGGUGCAUGGCUGUCGUCAGCUCGCGCCGUGAGGUGUUGGGUUAAGUCCCGCAACGAGCGCAACCCCUGUCCUUAGUUGCCAACUCAUCGCAAGAUGGAGGGACUCUAAGGAGACUGCCGGCGUAAGCCGAGAGGAAGGUGGGGAU